GAACCUUACCAGGUCUUGACAUCCCGCUGACCGGUCUGGAGACAGGCCUUUCCUUGGGGACAGCGGUGACAGGUGGUGCAUGGUUGUCGUCAGCUCGUGUCGUGAGAUGUUGGUAAGUCCCGCAACGAGCGCAACCCUUGAUCUUAGUUCCAGCAUUCAGUGGGCACUCUAAGGUGACUGCCGGUGACAAACCGAGGAAGGUGGGGAUGACGUCAAAUCAUCAUGCCCCUUAUGACCUGGGCACACACGUGCUACAUGGUGGUACAAAGGGCGCAAGCCGCAAGGUUUAGCCAAUCCAUAAACCAUCUCAGUUCG
RNAcentral lists this ribosomal RNA (315 nucleotides) under Bacillus sp. (in: firmicutes). RNAcentral's name for it is "bacterial SSU rRNA". It matches the Rfam family "Bacterial small subunit ribosomal RNA", at positions 966 to 1295 of the family's 1533-position model. Lineage: Bacteria; Bacillati; Bacillota; Bacilli; Caryophanales; Bacillaceae. The record is from RNAcentral.